AUUGAACGCUGGCGGCAGGCCUAACACAUGCAAUUCGAACGAGUGGCGGACGGGUGAGUAAUGUCUGGGAAACUGCCUGAUGGAGGGGGAUAACUACUGGAAACGGUAGCUAAUACCACAUACCAUCGGAUGUGCCCAGAUGGGAUUAGCUAGUAGGUGGGGUAAAGGCUCACCUAGGCGACUAUCCCUAGCUGGUCGGAGAGGAGGACCAGCCAUACUGGAACUGAGACCAGGGCCAUAUUCCUACGGGAGGGAGCAGUGGGGAAUAUUGCACAAGGGGCGCAAGCCUGAGGCAGCCAGGCCGGGUGUAUGAAGAAGGCCUUCGGUUUGUAAAGUACUUUCAGCGGGGAGGCGUUACCCGCAGAAGAAGCACCGGCUAACUCCGUGCCAGCAGCCGCGGUAAUA
Molecule: ribosomal RNA, 405 nt
Filed under: uncultured bacterium
Lineage: Bacteria
Description: partial 16S ribosomal RNA
Rfam family: Bacterial small subunit ribosomal RNA
Source: RNAcentral